This 314-nucleotide ribosomal RNA is filed under the name uncultured bacterium. Its description in RNAcentral is "partial 16S ribosomal RNA". It matches the Rfam family "Bacterial small subunit ribosomal RNA", at positions 499 to 807 of the family's 1533-position model. The record is from RNAcentral.
GUAUAAGAGACAGCAGCAGCCGCGGUAAUACGUAGGGUGCGAGCGUUAAUCGGAAUUACUGGGCGUAAAGCGUGCGCAGGCGGUUCGUUAAGACAGAUGUGAAAUCCCCGGGCUUAACCUGGGAACUGCAUUUGUGACUGGCGAGCUAGAGUAUGGCAGAGGGGGGUAGAAUUCCACGUGUAGCAGUGAAACGCGUAGAGAUGUGGAGGAAUACCGAUGGCGAAGGCAGCCCCCUGGGCCAAUACUGACGCUCAUGCACGAAAGCGUGGGGAGCAAAUAGGAUUAGAUACCCGUGUAGUCCCUGUCUCUUAUAC